GUCGAGCGAGAAGGCCUUCGGGCUGAGUACAGCGGCGGACGGGUGAGUAACGCGUAGGAAUCUACCUGGUAGUGGGGGACAACAUGGUGAAAACCAUGCUAAUACCGCAUACGCCCUACGGGGGAAAGCGGGGGACCUUCGGGCCUCGUGCUAUCGGAUGAGCCUGCGUUGGAUUAGCUUGUUGGUGAGGUAAAAGCUCACCAAGGCGACGAUCCAUAGCUGGUCUGAGAGGAUGAUCAGCCACACUGGAACUGAGACACGGUCCAGACUCCUACGGGAGGCAGCAGUGGGGAAUAUUGCGCAAUGGGCGAAAGCCUGACGCAGCCAUGCCGCGUGUGUGAAGAAGGCCUUAGGGUUGUAAAGCACUUUCAAUUGGGAAGAAAGGUUGUACGUUAAUAGCGUGCAACUGUGACAUUACCUUUAGAAGAAGCACCGGCUAACUCCGUG
Molecule: ribosomal RNA, 447 nt
Filed under: uncultured bacterium
Lineage: Bacteria
Description: bacterial SSU rRNA
Rfam family: Bacterial small subunit ribosomal RNA
Source: RNAcentral